CGGUAAUUCCAGCUCCAAUAGCGUAUACUAAUGUUGUUGCAGUUAAAAAGCUCGUAGUCGGAUUUCAGUUUGAUUUAGGAUCUUUUAUUCGAAGGUCCUUGAUCAUUCUUCCUUGACAUAAACAGCCAUGUCCUUCAUUGGAUGUAGUUUGGGAGUGUCUCUUUUACUUUGAGAAAAUUAGAGUGUUCAAAGCAGGUAAUCGCCUGAAUAUUACUCUUGGAAUAAUACUAUAGGACUUUGGUUCUGCAUUGUUGGUGUUCAGAGCCAGAGUAAUGAUUGAUAGGGACGGUUGGGGUCAUUAGUACUGCGAAGCGAGAGGUGAAAUUCUUGGACCUUUGUAUGACUAACAACUGCGAAAGCAUUUGACUAGGACGUUCCCGUUGAUCAAGAACGAAAGUUGGGGGAUCGAAGACGAUCAGAUACCGUCGUAGUCUCAACCAUAAACUAUGCCAGCUAGGGAUUGGAGGAAGUUAAACUUGACUCCUUCAGCACCUUAUGAGAAAUCAAAGCAUUUGGGUUCCGGGGGGAGUAUGGUCGCAAGUCUGAAACUUAAAGAAAUUGACGGGAGGGCACCACCAGGAGUGGAGCCUGUGGCUUAAUUUGACUCAACACGGGAAAACUUACCAGGUCCGGACAUAGUAAGGAUUGACAGAUUGAAAGCUCUUUCUUGAUUCUAUGGGUGGUGGUGCAUGGCCGUUCUUAGUGGGUGGAGUGAUUUGUCAGGUUAAUUCCGUUAACGAACGAGACCUCAGCCUGCUAAAUAGUUAUACCUACUUCUGUAGUUCGUAACUUAUGAGAGGGACUACUUGCGAAACAACCGAGCGGAAGCUCGAGGCCAUAUCAGGUCUGUCAUGCCCUUAGAUGUUCUGCGCCGCACACGCGCUACACCGGUGCACUCAACCAGUACAAUAAGUUGAAUCGAAAGGUUAGUCUAAUCUUUGAAACCGCACCGGGCUUGGGAUAGACCAUUGCAAUUUUUAGUCUUCAGGCGAGGAAUUCAUAGUACAACUCAAGUCAUCACCUUGCAUUGAUUACGUCCCUGCCCACAGUACACACCACCCAAGGGUGAAUCCCGCACACGGGCGGCCG
This 1089-nucleotide ribosomal RNA is filed under the name uncultured Rhizaria. Its description in RNAcentral is "bacterial SSU rRNA". It matches the Rfam family "Eukaryotic small subunit ribosomal RNA", at positions 577 to 1831 of the family's 1831-position model. The record is from RNAcentral.